RNAcentral lists this long non-coding RNA (924 nucleotides) under Arabidopsis lyrata. RNAcentral's name for it is "long non-coding RNA (ALYR_LNC001351)". Lineage: Eukaryota; Viridiplantae; Streptophyta; Magnoliopsida; Brassicales; Brassicaceae. The record is from RNAcentral.
UGUAAUUGAUAUGAUAAAGGUUAUAUUAUCAUAGAAAAUAUUUAUGGUAAGAUAGUAGAUAUAUAGAUAAUAUUUAUAUUAACGUGUAUAACGAUGUUAACAUGAUAACAAUAAAAAUAACAGGUGUUACUCUAUUUAUCGAUAACUAUAGUAAAAUCAAACCCAGAAAAAUGUGCCAAUGACGCCGACGAUUCCUUUCUUUUCAUCGAUUAACCUAAUCUAAACUACAAUUGACAAAUUCAGUUUUCAUAUCUGUCUCAGUCCACCACUGUUUGUUCUAACUUCACGACACCAUCCAUUUCUCCCCCGUAAUUACCGCAACAUAUAUUAUCAUCAUCACCACAAUACAACUUUUAGCCAUCACACCUUCUCAGUUCUUCUUUCAUCUUCUUUUUUCUAUACUUACCGCCACCAACAAUGUCAUUGUUAGCAUCAUCACCGGUAAAUCUCAUCAUCGUCAAAUCAGAACCACCAUCAAUUACCAUUAUUUUUUAUCGCAGAAACUUAACCAACCUUCGCAAAAACACAAAACAAAAACUUCAUCUUCAUCAUCGCUAAAUCAAAAGCACUAUUGUCAUAGGUGAACCACACAAAUUAUUGGUUUUGCUUUUCGGUUCUCUGCAGAAAAAAGUCUGAUUUAAUUUUCAUUACUAAAGUUGUGUUCUGGUGUUUGAAGAAGAAAGAAAUAGAAGAAGAGAGAUAAAACAUUGAAUAAAUAAAUCAAGGGUGAUAUUGUAUUUUAUAUAUGGACAGUGAAUGCCAAAUAGUAACGAAGAGAGAGAACUAAUUAUUCAUUCUUCUAUGGUCACAGAUUAUAGAUACCCUAUAUAAUAUAAUAUUAUAUGUGUAUUAGAAAUAAUUAAGAAAGAAGAGAGGAACGUAGAGAGAAGGAGAGAGCAAAUAAAAUCUCUUCUUUCUUCUCUC